GACGAACGCUGGCGGCGUGCUUAACACAUGCAAGUCGAACGGAAAGGCCCCUUUGGGGGUACUCGAGUGGCGAACGGGUGUGUAACACGUGUGUAACCUUCCCUUGACUUCGGGAUAACUUCAGGAAACUGGGGCUAUUACCGGUUAGGUAUCCUUGCUGCAUGGUGGUGUUUGGAAAGCUUCGGCGGUUUUGGAUGGACUCCUGGCUUAUCAGCUUGUUGGUGGGGUAGUGGCUUACACAGGCUUUCACGGGUAGCCGGCCUGAGAGGGCGAGCGGGCACAUUGGGACUGAGAGACGGCGCAGACUCCUACGGGAGGCAGAAGUGGGGAAUAUUGCACAAUGGGCGGAAGCAGGAUGCAGCAACGCCGCGUGCGGGAUGACGGACUUCGGGUUGUAAAACGGUUUCAGCAGGGGCGAAGCUUGUGGUGACGGUACCUGCAGAAGAAGCACCGGCUAACUACGUG
This 465-nucleotide ribosomal RNA is filed under the name uncultured bacterium. RNAcentral describes it as "partial 16S ribosomal RNA". It matches the Rfam family "Bacterial small subunit ribosomal RNA", at positions 28 to 507 of the family's 1533-position model. The record is from RNAcentral.